Molecule: ribosomal RNA, 497 nt
Filed under: uncultured bacterium
Lineage: Bacteria
Description: partial 16S ribosomal RNA
Rfam family: Bacterial small subunit ribosomal RNA
Source: RNAcentral
GAUGAACGCUGGCGGCGUGCCUAAUACAUGCGAGUCGAGCGAACAGACGAGGAGCUUGCUCCUCUGACGUUAGCGGCGGACGGGUGAGUAACACGUGGAUAACCUACCUAUAAGACUGGGAUAACUUCGGGAAACCGGAGCUAAUACCGGAUAAUAUAUUGAACCGCAUGGUUCAAUAGUGAAAGACGGUUUUGCUGUCACUUAUAGAUGGAUCCGCGCCGCAUUAGCUAGUUGGUAAGGUAACGGCUUACCAAGGCGACGAUGCGUAGCCGACCUGAGAGGGUGAUCGGCCACACUGGAACUGAGACACGGUCCAGGCUCCUACGGGAGGCAGCAGUAGGGAAUCUUCCGCAAUGGGCGAAAGCCUGACGGAGCAACGCCGCGUGAGUGAUGAAGGUCUUCGGAUCGUAAAACUCUGUUAUUAGGGAAGAACAAAUGUGUAAGUAACUAUGCACGUCUUGACGGUACCUAAUCAGAAAGCCACGGCUAACUACGUG